RNAcentral lists this ribosomal RNA (2955 nucleotides) under Triticum aestivum (bread wheat). RNAcentral describes it as "partial small subunit ribosomal RNA". Lineage: Eukaryota; Viridiplantae; Streptophyta; Magnoliopsida; Poales; Poaceae. The record is from RNAcentral.
CCGCCGCCGCUCUCCCCGCUCCUCUCCUCCCUCCAGAUCGCCCCGUCCUUCUCCCGCCUCCUCCUCCGCCUCUCCCUCCUCGGCGACAUGAGCGGCCCCGCCCCGACCCCGCCGCCGCCCCCUCCUCCGGCGGCGGCGCCCGCUCGCCCCGUGCGCUAUGACUUCCUCAACUCCAAGCCGCCCCCCAACUACGUCGCGGGUCUCGGCCGUGGCGCCACCGGCUUCACCACCCGUUCCGAUAUCGGGCCGGCUCGCGCUGCCCCGGACCUCCCAGAUCGCUCCGCCGCCGCGGCUGCUCCUCCCGCUGUCGGCCGCGGCCGCGGGAAGCCCCCCGGCGAGGACGAAGGCGGUGAUGAAGGCGGCGACGAGGAGAAGGGAUACGACGAGAACCAGAAGUUCGACGAGUUCGAGGGCAACGACGCCGGCCUCUUCUCCAACGCCGACUACGACGAUGAUGACCGCGAGGCUGAUGCCGUCUGGGAGAGCAUCGACCAGAGGAUGGACCUGCGCCGCAAGGAUCGGCGCGAGGCGCGUCUCAAGCAGGAGAUUGAGAAGUACCGUGCGUCCAACCCUAAGAUCACCGAGCAGUUUGCUGAUCUCAAGAGGAAGCUGGCAGAUGUGUCUGUGCAGGAGUGGGAAAGCAUACCUGAAAUUGGGGACUACUCGGCACGCAACAAGAAGAAGCGGUUCGAGAGCUUUGUCCCGGUGCCGGAUACUCUGCUUGAGAAGGCCCGGCAGGAGCAGGAGCAUGUCACAGCCCUGGACCCCAAGAGCCGUGCGGCUGGUGGCACCGAGACACCGUGGGCGCAAACUCCGGUUACCGACCUGACUGCCGUGGGUGAGGGUCGUGGUACCGUGCUUUCGCUGAAGUUGGACAGGUUGUCGGAUUCAGUUUCUGGGCUUACUGUUGUUGAUCCAAAGGGAUACCUUACAGACUUGAAAAGCAUGAAAAUUACUAGCGACGCUGAGAUCUCUGACAUUAAGAAGGCAAGACUGCUGCUCAGGUCUGUGACACAGACAAACCCAAAGCAUCCUCCAGGUUGGAUUGCUGCUGCUAGGCUUGAAGAGGUUGCUGGCAAGCUCCAGUCUGCUCGGCAGCUCAUUCAGAGGGGCUGUGAGGAGUGCCCCAAGAACGAGGAUGUUUGGUUCGAGGCAUGCCGGUUGGCUAGCCCAGAUGAGUCAAAGGCAGUAAUUGCCAGGGGUGUGAAGGCAAUUCCCAACUCUGUGAAGCUGUGGCUGCAGGCUGCAAAACUAGAGACUAGUGAUUUGAACAAGAGCAGGGUCUUAAGGAAGGGGUUGGAGCACAUUCCUGAUUCAGUUAGGUUGUGGAAGGCUGUUGUGGAGCUGGCGAACGAGGAGGAUGCACGGAUGUUGCUUCAUAGGGCUGUGGAGUGCUGCCCACUUCAUGUCGAGCUGUGGCUUGCCCUAGCAAGGCUCGAAACAUAUGACCAGGCAAAGAAGGUGCUUAACAAGGCCAGGGAGAAGCUCAACAAGGAACCUGCCAUUUGGAUUACAGCUGCAAAGCUGGAGGAGGCUAAUGGGAACACCCAAUCCGUAAGCAAGGUGAUUGAGAGAGGUAUAAGAUCUUUGCAGAGAGAAGGGUUGGAUAUUGAUAGGGAGGCGUGGCUAAAGGAAGCCGAAGCUGCAGAGCGUGCUGGAUCUGUGCUUACUUGCCAGGCUAUUGUGAAGAGCACUAUUGGAGUUGGGGUUGAUGAUGAGGACCGGAAGCGAACAUGGGUUGCUGACGCUGAGGAAUGCAAGAAACGUGGUUCAAUUGAGACAGCUCGGGCCAUCUAUGCACAUGCUCUUAGCGUGUUCGUUGCCAAAAAGAGCAUAUGGCUUAAAGCGGCGCAGCUUGAGAAGAGCCAUGGGACAAGAGAAUCUCUUGAAGCCAUUCUCAGAAAGGCUGUCACGUACAAUCCAAAAGCUGAAGUGUUAUGGCUUAUGGGUGCAAAGGAAAAAUGGCUGGCUGGUGAUGUCCCUGCAGCUCGGGCCAUCCUUCAGGAAGCUUAUGCUGCUAUCCCUAUUUCAGAGGAGAUCUGGUUAGCUGCAUUCAAGUUAGAGUUCGAGAAUAACGAACCAGAGAGAGCAAGAAUGCUUUUGACCAAGGCCAGGGAAAGAGGAGGCACCGAGAGGGUUUGGAUGAAAUCAGCAAUUGUUGAGAGGGAAUUAGGAAAUGUGAAUGAGGAAAGGAGGUUGUUGGAGGAAGGUCUGAAGUUAUUCCCCUCGUUUUUCAAAUUGUGGUUAAUGCUUGGACAGAUGGAAGACCGGAUUGGACAUGUACCAAAGGCAAAGGAGGUUUACGAGAAUGGACUUAAACACUGCCCCGGUUGCAUCCCUCUUUGGCUCUCGCUAGCUAGUCUAGAGGAGAGGAUAAAUGGCUUGAGUAAGUCACGUGCUUUCCUCACCAUGGCAAGGAAAAAGAAUCCAGCUACACCUGAACUAUGGCUUGCAGCAAUUCGAGCUGAAUUGAGGCAUGGGAACAAAAAGGAAGCUGAUUCUCUACUAGCCAAGGCAUUACAAGAGUGCCCAACAAGUGGCAUUUUGUGGGCUGCAGCUAUUGAGAUGGUGCCACGUCCCCAACGCAAAUCAAAGAGCUCAGAUGCUAUAAAGCGAUGUGAUCAUGAUCCACAUGUCAUUGCAGCUGUCGCCAAACUUUUCUGGCAUGACAGGAAGGUUGAUAAAGCAAGGAGUUGGUUGAACAGAGCUGUUACUCUUGCUCCUGACAUUGGGGAUUUUUGGGCAUUGUACUACAAAUUUGAACUCCAGCAUGGAAAUGCGGACACACAAAGGGAUGCUCUGAAACGAUGCAUUGCAGCCGAACCAAAACAUGGCGAGAGAUGGCAAGCUAUAAGCAAGGCCGUUGAGAACUCACAUCAGCCAGUUGAUGCCAUCCUGAGAAAAGUCGUUCUGGCUCUUGGUGCAGAAGAAAACCCCAAUGCUGCAGAACCCUAG